CAGGCCCAGCUGCAGGCUGGGGGAAGGCCAGGCUGGGAUUUCAGGGGGAGAGUUUCAGAAGGAUGAGAAAUAAUCAGGGAAGAGGCAAGUCCAGGAGCUGUGAGCUGCGUGGAAAGAAUGUGAAUGAAGACACAAUUCUAAAUGUAGAACCACGGACGCUAUGUGAGCUGGCUCCCUAAUCAUCCAGAAAAACAAGGCCUGCGUGUACAUUCUGCAAGAGCAUAAAUAAAGCUGUCCUCAGGCGGCGGGCUACGGCAUCCCAUCCUUGCAGUGACUUCUCUGGCCCCAGCUCGUGGCCGAACCCCUGGAACAGAGGCGGGAGGGGCCCAGCUGCCUGACCGCCUGGGUGAAAAUGGCCUCGCUCUUGCCUGGAUGUGCUUGAUGCUUACUAACCUCAUUCUGCAGCAAACUGGCUCUGUUCUGCAUCUGUCUUAUUCAGAAAUGUUCAAAAGCUGGUGAUGGGGGUAAUGCAGAAUUUCUGGGGCUGGGUGUUGGAAGCUUGCGUCCCCACAAAUGACAUGAGGCGACUCCCACCAUUCUUCCACCAUUGUGGUUGUACCAGACUGCUUGUCAGGAGGCCUCAGCAGAGGUUUCUUCACUAGUGCUCAUUCUUCUUUACGAGUUGUUUGCAUAAACUUCUUCAGGAGGGUGGAGCAUUUCCUGGGCUUAGUAAUAACAGCAAAAUAGUAAAUGCUAGCUAAUACUUACCAAACCUAUAACUCGGUGCCCUGCACUGUCCUGAGUCUUUACCUAAAUUAACCUUGAUGCUGUACUCUCUUUAUCUUAGGGCCUGGCACCAUUUUGUUCUAGCCCCACCGAUUGCUACCUGUCAGGGAGCUAAGCAAAGACACGAUAAGGAAACCGGUAUUUCCCGAGCAUGCAUUAUGUGCCAGGCACCGCCUGUGUGUUCUUUUACUGAAUCCUCAUGCUAUCCCAGUGUGAUGUCUGUACAUACCCCCUCUUUACAGAUGAGCAAACUGAGGCUUUCAGAGGUCCUGGAUGUCAUUCAGCUAACAGUGGCACUGAGGAUGCAGAUGAGGGUUUGUCUGUCUGCCUGUCCAGUCUGUAUAUCUCUGUUGCACCCCCCAGCCCUCAACAUAAGCGCACUCCCAGCCCAAGUCCAGGGAACAUGGCUGCCUUCCACCCACCUGUUUUCCUUGCCUCUCCCUGGCAAGGGAGCAAAGUCUGGCCAGGGCACCUCCUUAGCUACUGAUUUGUUAUGGGAACUGAGGGGAUUCUGUACCUCAGUGUCGGCCCAGUGAAAGUAUAUCCUCAGGGCUGGUGCAAGGAUGGGACGUCACUGUAGGGGGUACUGCUGGAGCUCGGGCCUCGGCCGGCUGCUCACCUGCUGAGGGGCCUGAGCAAUCAGACCCCUCCCUUUAGAUGGAUUUUCUUACCAGGAACUCUGAGUUGGCUCCUUGUGAAGGGAUGUUACGUGGUGAUGUGUGUCUGGUGCCUAGCUCAGAGGAGCUGGAUAUAUCGAGCUGAAGGGGGGGGGCACCUGUUUGCAGCUCACAGCUGGAAAACAGCCCACUGGCUCAGGUUGCUGGUACCCCUUCCCUAGGGAUGCUGCUCUCCUAGCCUCGCCAGCCUCGUGCCAGGAUGGGAGUGUCAUAGUCUUUUCUCGAGUCGCCUGGGCCAGGGGGACUCUCCUUAAGGCCUUUCCUUCAGAAUUCUUUGCUUAGGAGUUUCUAGUGAAGGAUUUCGAUGCAAGAAAUAGAACGUGUGCUGUGAAAUGAAGUAAAUCCAGUUUAUUAAAAUGCCAACAUAAUCAUGGUGGCCAGCAGAGAGGUCAGCCACCGUGCACGUGGAGUCUGUGUAAGCCAUCUCUCCUCCUGGAGGGAUCUGGAAGUCGAGAGUCAGGAGGAGAAGGGGGAGUGGAGAGCUCUACUCCCUCACAUAUGGGCCCACAAACUUUUUCUGUUAAGAGGCUAAAGUAAAUGUUUUCAGCUUUGCGGGCCAGAUGGUCUUUGUCACAACUGCCCAGCUCAGCACUGCAAGGUGGUCAGAGCUGAUCCGUAAACAAAGGGAUGUGGCUGAGUUCCAAUAAAACUUUAUUUGUGGACAUACAGAUUUGAAUUUUGCAUAAUUUUCCCAUAUCACAAAAUAUUCCUGUUUUGGUUUUACCACUUAAGUAUGUCAAAAGCAUUUUUAGCCUAUGAGACUACACAACACCAGGGGCAGGACAGGUUAGCUCACGGAUCAGACGUGCUGAGUAUUGAGCCACUCUCUCCGCUUCAGCCACCGCCAAGCACAUGGGCUAAUGGGCACCCGAAACCUGGCUAGUCUGAACCGAGACAUGCUGUGAGGGGGGGGAAACGCACACUGGAUUUCCAAGACGGUGCCCCAAAAAAGUCCUCCCAAAACAAAAACAGACUGCGAAAGAUCUUCUGUAUAGAAUAGUGUAUUGAAUCUUGUGUGGAUAUGAUGAUACUUUGCAUGUUGUGGCUUUAAUAAAAUAUAUUAUUAAGAUUGCUUUUACAUAUUUCUUUUUACUCUUUUAAUGUGGCUACUGGCAAAUUUAAAAUGACACACGUGGCUCACGCCAUGUAUUUCUAGUGAGUGGGGCUGGGCUGCUCUUCUCCUGGCUGUGACCCUGCCCCUCAUCGUCCACUGUUGCCAUGAGGCCAGUCUGUUCCUGGGAUCAGGGCUGAUGUGGUCACGGUGAAAAUGUCUCAACUUCUCCAUCGUCAAGUGCUCUGAGUUCAGAAGUUACACAGGAACUGUGUAUUCCUAGAUCACUAGUAUUAUUAUUUCUAUUUGGUUCUUCCAUUAUCUGUAAAAAAGUGAACCUUAAGAAAUUAAACUUUCUGCCGAUGAAGAAAAAUGGGGAUAGUUACCACUUUCUGAGCACCUACUGGAUACUGGGUUAACGGUCUCAUACCCAGUGUAUAUUUUAAUUUUCACAACCACCCAGGGGAGUGGGGAGACCAUUCCUAUCUCCAAUUCCAAAUGCAAAACAAAAUCAGAGAGGUAAAAAUCCCUUGCCCCAAAUUAUGUAAUUGACGGUGGAGCUGGUCUCAAUUUUAGGUCACCUGGUCUGCCUAAACUGACUUUUUCCCCUGGUGCCAUAAUCACUGAAGUGCCCCUAGAAGCAGGGUCUCCUGGCAGAAUUGUUUGACUGGAUGUGGAGGAAGAGGAUCAUAAGGCAGGGCUGGGGUACAAAGCCAAAAUGUGUUCUCUUGCUGUUCUGCACCCCCAGGCAUUGCCUGCUCUGUCCCCCAGCAGCAGCGGGGGAGGAAGGCCACUGUUUAACUGUUCCAUAACCACCUCUGGCCCAGGAGUAAUAUGAUUGCUUUGACCUCAGAGAUGGACCAAUAUAAGAAUCACUUCUCUCACCCUGGCUCCAGCCAUACUGCCUCCUUGCUCCUCUUCAUGUAUGCAGCUCCAUCCUGCCUCAGGGCCUUUGCACCUGCUGAUCCUCUGCUUGGAGCUUUCUGCCCCUGAUCUUUACAAGGCUGCUUCUUUCUCCCCAUUCAAGUGUCAGCUCAAGGGUCACUUCCUCAGUGACCAUCCCAUCUAAAGACUCUCACUCUCAGCCCUGGUCAUCCUCCAUUCUGUUUAUAUCCUUCAUACCAUCUCCUUCUUUGGUCAUGGGUUUAUGCUCUGUGGAUGCCCUCUCCAGAAUGCAAGCUCCAAGAGGACUUUUAUUUUGUCUGCCUUCUUGUCACCCCCUAAUGGGUGAUGGUGGGUGAAUGGGAAAGCACUGGGGGUGAGGGGGGCUCCUUACGGCCUUGCAUCUCCCCCCCGCCAUUACGAACUCAGUGUUGGCUUUAUCUCGGGGCGGUGGUUCCCAAGUCAGCUGGAGGGCUGGUGAAAACAUGGAUUGCCGUGGCCCUCCCUCAGAGUGUGUAUCUCUAACAAGUUCCCAGGUGGUGCUCACCCUGCUGGCCCAAGGACCACCCCCGGAGAAGAAGAUGCUGCUACUGGCCAAGCCAGGCCCAUGCCACUGUUGCAACAGGUGGCUGUCUGGGAGCUGCUGCUUCCCAGUGGCUUCCCACUCAAGGUGAAGCUUUAUCCUCCCUGCGUCUCCGACGUAGAUCUACAGCAGGGUGAAGAAAACCUAAUUCCUACUUUUGACCAGAGAUUAUAGUUGGAUCAGCUUGCAGGAAACCUGAGUGCAGAGUUUUGGUGGGGCGCUUUCAGUUCCCCCACCCCGCUCACCCUGCUGGAGACACCUUGUCCUGACAAAGUUUUAGGGCACAGAGCAGGAAGCGGACAGCACAGUGGGACAGGGACUGGCUCAAGCGACUUUCAAGGUGGGGAUAGAGCCAGUCCGCACUCUUAGCCAGCCAUGGGGGCCGGACCCUGAACACCCAGCCCUGCCACCCUCCUGGCCACUGGACACCAUCAAACACUUGGAGAACUGGGAG
This is a long non-coding RNA of Mirounga angustirostris (Northern elephant seal), 4373 nucleotides long. RefSeq lists it as uncharacterized. NCBI's taxonomy places the organism in Eukaryota, Metazoa, Chordata, Mammalia, Carnivora, Phocidae. The transcript is spliced from 5 exons. The record is from RefSeq and is a predicted model, not a curated record.